AGCCCUGAGGUGUUUCACGUUAAAAUGCAAAUUUGAAGAAGGACCCUAGAGAGUCCCGGGGCUU
This 64-nucleotide transfer RNA is filed under the name Holbrookia elegans elegans. RNAcentral's name for it is "tRNA-Cys". The record is from RNAcentral. Lineage: Eukaryota; Metazoa; Chordata; Lepidosauria; Squamata; Phrynosomatidae.